UACGUAGGGGGCAAGCGUUGUCCGGAAUUAUUGGGCGUAAAGGGCGCGCAGGCGGCCGUUUAAGUUUGGUGUAACAGCCCGUGGCUCAACCACGGGAAGCACUGAAAACUGGGCGGCUCGAGUGCAGGAGAGGAAAGUGGAAUUCCACGUGUAGCGGUGAAAUGCGUAGAGAUGUGGAGGAACACCAGUGGCGAAGGCGACUUUCUGGUCUGUAACUGACGCUGAGGCGCGAAAGCGUGGGUAGCAAACAGG
RNAcentral lists this ribosomal RNA (252 nucleotides) under uncultured bacterium. Its description in RNAcentral is "partial 16S ribosomal RNA". It matches the Rfam family "Bacterial small subunit ribosomal RNA", at positions 524 to 776 of the family's 1533-position model. The record is from RNAcentral.